RNAcentral lists this ribosomal RNA (301 nucleotides) under uncultured bacterium. RNAcentral describes it as "partial 16S ribosomal RNA". It matches the Rfam family "Bacterial small subunit ribosomal RNA", at positions 509 to 807 of the family's 1533-position model. The record is from RNAcentral.
CAGUCGCCGCGGUAAUACGAAGGGGGCUAGCGUUGUUCGGAUUUACUGGGCGUAAAGGGCGCGUAGGCGGACUGAUAAGUCAGGGGUGAAAUCCCAAGGCUCAACCUUGGAACUGCCUUUGAUACUGUUUGUCUUGAGUUCGAGAGAGGUAAGUGGAACUGCGAGUGUAGAGGUGAAAUUCGCAGAUAUUCGCAAGAACACCAGUGGCGAAGGCGACUCUCUGGUCUGUAACUGACGCUGAGGAGCGAAAGCGUGGGGAGCGAACAGGAUUAGAUACCCGUGUAGUCCCUGUCUCUUAUAC